CUGGUUGAUCCUGCCGGAGGCCACUGCUAUCGGAGUCCGACUAAGCCAUGCGAGUCAAGGGGGGCUUUGCCCACCGGCGGACGGCUCAGUAACACGUGGACAACCUGCCCUCAGGAGGGGGAUAAUCCCGGGAAACUGGGACUAAACCCCCAUAGGUCACAGAGGCUGGAAGGCGCUGUGACCGAAAUUCCGAAAGGAGCCUGAGGAUGGGUCUGCGGCCUAUCAGGUUGUAGUGGGGGUAACGGCCCCACUAGCCUACGACGGGUACGGGCCCUGAGAGGGGGAGCCCGGAGAUGGACUCUGAGACACGAGUCCAGGCCCUACGGGGCGCAGCAGGCGCGAAACCUCCGCAAUGCUCGAAAGAGCGACGGGGGGACUCCGAGUGCCUACGCUUUGCGUAGGCUUUUCCCGAGUCUACAAAGCUCGGGGAAUAAGGGCUGGGUAAGACGGGUGCCAUCUGUGAUGGCAGUCAAAGAUUUGGCUUGCCGUUGCAAGGCAUAAGCCGCCGCGGUAAUACCCGCAGCUCGAGUGGUGGCCGCUUUUAUUGGGCCUAAAGCGUCCGUAGCCGGUCUGGUAAAUGCCUGGGUAAAUCGUAGGGCUUAACCCUGCGGUUCCAGGUAGACUGCCAAACUUGGGACCGGAGGAGGGAGAGGGUACUCCAGGGGUAGGGGUGAAAAUGCCCUUUCCGUUAACGCUUUGUGCGAAGCAGAAAGGGUUAUCACAAUCCUGUAAUCCCUGGAGGACCACCGGUGGCGAAGGCGCUCUCCUAGGACGGGUCCGACGGUGAGGGACGAAAGCCAGGGGAGCAAACCGGAUUAGAUACCCGGGUAGUCCUGGCCGUAAACGAUGUGGACUUGGCAUUGGGAUGGCUACGGGCUGUCCCAGUGUCGUAGGGAAGCCGUUAAGUCCACCGCCUGGGGAGUACGGUCGCAAGGCUGAAACUUAAAGGAAUUGGCGGGGGAGCACUGCAACGGGAGGAGCGUGCGGUUUAAUUGGACUCAACGCCGG
Molecule: ribosomal RNA, 1008 nt
Filed under: uncultured archaeon 20b-9
Lineage: Archaea
Description: bacterial SSU rRNA
Rfam family: Archaeal small subunit ribosomal RNA
Source: RNAcentral